UACGGAGGGUGCAAGCGUGUCCGGAAUCACUGGGCGUAAAGGGCGCGUAGGCGGCUCAUGAAGGCUGUGGUGAAAGUCCGGGGCUCAACCUCGGAUCGGCCGUGGCGACUCGUGGGCUGGAGCACUGUAGAGGCGGGUGGAAUUCCGGGUGUAGCGGUGGAAUGCGUAGAGAUCCGGAAGAACACCAGUGGCGAAGGCGGCCCGCUGGGCAGUGGCUGACGCUGAGGCGCGACAGCGUGGGGAGCAAACAGG
RNAcentral lists this ribosomal RNA (252 nucleotides) under uncultured bacterium. RNAcentral's name for it is "partial 16S ribosomal RNA". It matches the Rfam family "Bacterial small subunit ribosomal RNA", at positions 524 to 776 of the family's 1533-position model. The record is from RNAcentral.